UAACACGUAGGGGGCCAGCGUUGUCCGGAAUUACUGGGCGUAAAGAGCGCGUAGGCUGUUUGGUAAGCGGAGGGUGAAAUUCCGGGGCUCAACCCCGGAGCUGCUCUCCGAACUGCCAGACUAGAGUUUGGGAGAGGGUAGUGGAAUUCCUGGUGUAGCGGUGGAAUGCGUAAAUAUCAGGAAGAACACCUGUGGCGAAGGCUGCUACCUGGAACAAUACUGACGCUGAGGCGCGAAAGCUAGGGGAGCGAACGGG
Molecule: ribosomal RNA, 256 nt
Filed under: uncultured bacterium
Lineage: Bacteria
Description: partial 16S ribosomal RNA
Rfam family: Bacterial small subunit ribosomal RNA
Source: RNAcentral